This is a non-coding RNA of Doryrhamphus excisus (bluestripe pipefish), 7421 nucleotides long. The record is from RefSeq and is a predicted model, not a curated record. NCBI's taxonomy places the organism in Eukaryota, Metazoa, Chordata, Actinopteri, Syngnathiformes, Syngnathidae.
AAUCAGGCCACAGUCGCCAUAGUACAUCAUCCUUGCCGCCAUUCACUUGUUUUAUUUCGGCUUGAGAAUUUGACUAUUUUAAGAGGUAAUUGUGGGUAUCCAGAAAAGAUGGAAGUGCAGUUUGUUUGGAAAGCGUGACAGCCUAGGCAACAGUAACUAAGGGGAGGUGGAUCUCAACUUUCCACGUCUUACCGUAGAAAAGACAGGCGGAAAACCGGCGAGACCAGGUCUGCGAUUCCCGACUUCAACAGGAACAAGGACAGCCACUGUGGGAUGAGCUUGAGGGUCGCCAGGUAGUGAGUCUUCUUGGCUGAGACCUGUAGGACAGCGCAGAAGGUCCUCUACAGUACAGGACGCUGUUUCCUUUGAGAUUUCCGAGCCAGCAGGUUUUUACCUUCAUGAUCUGGAAGAAAGUCUCGAUGGCCUCCUUGUCGUCAGGGAAUUGCUUCAUGAGGCCAAUCUGGAUGGUGUCAAAGUGCUGGUUCAGCUCCUGGAACUCCAGCUGGCCCUCAGACAGCUGGUCAAAUAUGAUGCGGAGGAGGCUGUUCUCAUGGAGCUGACCGAUGUAGUGGAGGCCUGGAGGUCGCAUCACAGGUCAAGGGCUGGAAAGCAAAGGUGUGACAGCAGCCUCCGGCCUGGUCGUGCUGUUCCAGAACCAGAACCUUCUUGCCCGCCUUGGCCAGUGUGGCGCCCGCCGCCAGGCCGCCGAUGCCGCUGCCGAUCACUACGACGUCCAGGUUCUGGGGCACCUUGUCGGGGCUGAAACCUGCACACACGCGGGUUACAUAAGCAUCAAUUCCGGACAUUGGUAAAAAAAACAAAACAAUCUUAUCACAAAUUGCAUAAUUCAGUAAGUCAGUGUGUUACAGUUUGAAGGUUCAUGUAGUGUUAUCCUGUCGCUUGUUAACUCUAUUUGAUGGUAUCUGUAAAGUCAUAAUUCAAUUAUAAUAAAAUGCACAAGGUUGUAAUUGCGCUCGUUUAGUGUGACCUAGAUAACAGGUGGUUUCGAUAAUAGAUACAGGUCAAGUGAACACUAUCUAGCACAGUGAGUAAGCAUGAGUUGCUAACUCUAUAUAAAUACUCUAUAUAUGAGCAAUGUGUACUCACGCAGGACGCUAACUGCGAGUAGCAAUACAUCGUCUUCCAGGAAAAGUCAGGAAACUUUUUGUAUUGAUGUGAAACAUCAUUUUUUUGUUUAAAAUGGUUACUAAAACACACAGAUUUUUAAGAUACUGCACUAGCUUGUCAUUGCAUAGUAGCCAGAUGCUAAAUGGUAAAGCUAUGUUCCACGGCUUAGCUUUGCAUAAUCCUCGAUACAAAAAUACAGAAGAAGAAUUAAGAAUUAAUAAGAUUAUUAAUUUUAGGUUUAUUUUUAUUUGUAAUAAGAAAACAUUAUUUUUAUUUUUUUUUUCUAAUUUAAUAAUCUUAAAUAAAAUAAAUUAAGUUAUAUUGAUGGAGACAGUCAUAUGUAUGCAAAUAUCUAAUAGUGUAUUUAUUGCAGAUAUUCAUAGUAGACACUGUUACUAUACACAAGUGCAGUACCUUGCUUGAUGACUUUGUCCCUCUUCUUCUGGUCAAACUCCCGAGGUCCAGGAGGCCUGACUGAGUCCAAGGAGAAAGGACUGGGCUUCCCAAAGAGGUACCAGUAGGUGGCCCCCGCCCAGACCACCAGCCACGCUAUGAAGAUGAAGAGCCACAUUUUGAAGUGCAGUAGAGUCACGACUACAAGGUAACAAGUUGAACUGAAGUGAAUGCUUGCCCCCCUCCGAAGGAUCCUUUUAUCGCAGCCAAGGUGUUCCACGAGGGGGGGCGGAGCUUGACACUUAACCCCAGUCGUGUCAUAACAAGCAAUAAAGAUAGCAAGACCCGUCUUUUGGUAGGACUUUCACACCAUUAUGGCUCACACAUAGCUUCUUUUUUUAAUGACCAUUAUAUUUAUUCAUAUUUCUGUCAUUUCUAUACCCGGCUCUCGUCCAUAAAGAAAUAUUUGAUGCCCAAGAAGGUUGCAACACAUUUUGUUUUGCUCCUGUGUGAUUUUAGAAUCCGUCCCGGUAGAUUAGAUAGACCCUCAACGACGCUUAUCUGAUAAGGCAAUUAAGAUAACGAACACAUUGCUCAUGAGUCAGGCUAGACUUUAUACACGCAGCAAUCAACUUUACCACAAAUAUGAAAUAAUAUUGCUGCACGAUAAGGAGGCGCUGUCGGCAAACGUAUUUUGCUUUAUGUGCUGCUAAAAUCACCACCUCAUGUCACCAUAACCCUUUGGUGGCAGCAUUAUCAUACGCAACAAUUAAUAUGUGCAAGAGUGCUAGUCAAAGAUCCUCUAUAUAUGGUAGGACUACUGCCGUUUAAGCAACUACAGCAAAAAGGCUGGUCAAAGAUCCUCUGCAUGGCUAAGUUGCUGUUUUUUUAAGAAUUUACUACCAACCGUUUGGUAGUAGACAUAACACUCGUACAGUCACAUACGCUCAUUAUAUUGCGAGUCAAAUAUUGCUCACUCAAUAUGUCAUAGUUUUUCAAAAUAUAAUUAAUAAAUGAUGGCUGUUUCAUGGUUGACUAUGGCCUAUAAUUAGUCAGAAAAUAUUGAAAGACAAGUUAAAGGUGGCGUUCUGGUCAGUUGGGGGAAAAAAAAAAAGGUUAUCCUCUCAUUCUGUGUGGAAGUGGUAAGUUUUUGGCUCCCUUUGUCCUUCCCCAACUCCGGUUGAAGAGGCUAACUUGUAGCUAUGUGAGCGGUGCCCAUCUGUUAUGUCUUUGCAGUUAUCCCCGUGGCCUGCACAAUGUGACGUAAACAAAGAAUAAUGGGGUGGAUAAGUGACUAUAGGGUUGUUAUUUCAUGUCUACAGGGCUCUAAUCGUGUUAAAACACAUUUAGAACGUUCUAAACAGGGUUUUAUGCUCUAAAAUUUUUAGUGUGUUAAUAUUGAAGCAUACUUCACAGAAAUUCACUUAACAAGGUUAGGUCUGGGACCAAUUAACUGCGAUAUUGGUUUGAGGAUAAUUGUUUUUCGCAUCCACAGCAAAAAAAAAAAAACACUAAAGACGAGUGGAAACACUGGUCAAAUAUCCCCUUUCUGAUCAGAUGACUGCUGUUUUUAAAGGUUCUCCUUGAAAAUGGCUGGUCAAAGAUGCUUUAUAUGGCAGGAUUACUGCUCUGCUGUUUUUAAGCGCCUACUGUAAAAAAGCAAGUCAACGAUCCAUUAUAUGACAGGACUACUGUUAUUAAGCAUCUCCAGACACAAAAUGCCAGACAGAGACAUUAGGACUACUAAUUUUUUUUUACUAGUAUUUUACUAGUAGUAAAGUAGCAGAUGUAAACAAGAGCACCAAGCAAUCCUUCAACACAACCUUUGGCCCGUUUAAGGACAGCAGGGACCGUCAGGAGUUAAGUAAGACCGUCAUUCCCAACCAUAAAACCCUACAAGUGGGUCACUCCAUGGACUCAAGUUCUAAAGGUGCUAAUGCAACACAUGUUACUCAGGGUCACAGUACUACAGCGGAAAAAACUGCACCUUGUGUACUCAAGUGACAUAUUUUCAUUGAAGUGCACAACAGUGCAGUACUUUGUAUAAAAUGCUUGAAAACACAGACGAUACACAAAGUGUCAAUUGGCACACUUGCUGAGAAGUGAGGCAAAAUGCAGUUCUUGGAGUACUUCACAUUGCCGCACGGAGCACAAACUCGCACAAGCGGAUUUCGUGCAGGAAGUAUAACCCGGCCUCGGUCGUAGGCUGGUCUGUAGUGCAGGGUUAUUUUAAGGGCUAUCUGACUAAAUGCACAAGAAUAGUUCUUGAGUCUGAACUGGUGUGAAUGAAACACAGGACCACAGGUGCUUUUCAGUCAGAUUAUAUAUUGUAAAUGGGGAGGGGGGUAAGGUGAACAAAAUGACAACCAAAAGCAAAUUUUCACAAAACAGAGGAUCACAGCAAUCUUUGUCAAGUAUCUGGUAUAACUCUGGGUCUCUGGGAUCACGGUGGAUUUAGGAACUCCACUGUGGUCCUCCAUCAUUUAAUCCACUAUCCACAGAGUCAAAAGGAAAGACAGUCCUACCCGUUCGCUGCCACUUCUGAAGGGCUUCCUGGCUUGGUGCCGAACCAAAGCGGUCUAUAAAAAAACCUGACCUGUACAGGCCAGAAACAGGCAUCAACAUGUCAGUCAAAAUGUACCGCUAAACAUUCCAAACAAUUACAUUUCCAAUUCAAGAUGGCCGUAGUCAAUUUACACUAACAGUUCAAUUUAUGUGGCAUUCAUCAAUACGUUUAGCAGUUUGAGAUAUAUAAAUACACAUGUAACGUCCGCAGACAUGGCCGGUGAAAGGGAAACGCUUACCGCAAAGUUGUUUUCUUUAGGUUUGAUUUCCGCCGCUUGUUGACCAGCCACAGCAGGAGCCGCUGAUUGCCUACACCUGCUGGCACUUUAGGGUUUCCUUGCAGCAACCACAGCCAAUCAGGAGGGGACCUCACGUCAGCUGACCAAGUCACAUGACUGCUCCUCAUUAGUGUCGUGACAUGACAUGGGUCACAUGUCACCGCAACAAAUUUUGCUGGUUGAGAAUUUUGCUAUUAAUUAUCGACAGAUAAUUAUUAUUAAAAUAUAAAUUUUAAAUAAAACCUUUUCAAAUCCAAAAUAAUUUUGACCUUUUUAAAAGAAAAAAAUGGUUAAUAUUACCAUUCAAAGAUGAUUGUGUCUUGUCACGUUUGAGCCACCAGGUGGUUCUCAAGUGUAGUGUACCUGUGUGAGGCGUACCAUAUUGGCUCGGCGGUGUGUCACCGCGUUUGACACCACAAUUCCUACUCAAGGUGUCAAAAGUACACACAGCAACGCAAUAGGUGGAUAAAAAAAGACAAUACACUACCAACGUAUAAUGCAGAAUAUUAACAAACUACCAUGUGAGCUGCAGACAUUUCCAUUCAUAUUCGCGUCUGCUUGCUAACUGCUAGCACCCCGUGUCGCCCCGCUAACUGGCACAAAGAGGCUUAAUCCCUGAGAAGAUGCUCACUCUCUUUUCAUAUCGAGCCAGUGAAUCCUCUUGUCAUCCAGCCUGUGUAGCACAGAGAGACUAACAGAUGGUGCAUUCACACAGACACUUCUACUGCAUUAUGCUCAUUUUUUGGCCUGUAUACUCAGUAUACUGUAUACUCAGUAUAACUAAAGUGUACCAAUGGAAAUAUUUCAUUUGACAAACAGAAAAUGUGUCAUUUUAGCUAGUUAGCAGAUACGUUUCGAUUAGCUGUCCGGCCUCUUGUUGUUAGGCGGAAUUUGUAUGAGCCACAAUCAUUUCUGCCCAAAAUAUUAAAAAGAAAACUGCACACUCUUGCCUGGAAACACAGAGGACAGGGAGAUCUGGCAGGAACAGGAAGUCAGACAACCAAAAACACUAUUAAUAAUUAAUACAGCUCGCACGGUUAUUUGUUAUCUGAAUUGCUGUUAUAUGAAGUAUAAAAUAAUAAAAGAUACAGUAUAAUUACCCUAGCUAUGCCCCCUGAUGGCCGUAGUGGGGCACUACAAGUAAAGACCUGAUAAGAGGACAGUAAUUGGAUGGGUGACAGGAAGUGUCACCGAGGCAACACACGACUGCAGCUGCAAGGAAAUCCUAUUAGACGUUUAACUAAGCACGUAACCUGCUUUGGGCGUCACAUGAAAGAGCAAUACGGACAAAAAAAAAACAAGGUCAGGGCGCGUUUUUGUUGACGCUAUUUGCAUUUAAUUACAAAUGGACAAACAUUAGCGUAGACACGCCGCUGACCUAACCAACACGCUGGCUACUGUACACGUCGUCUGCAGGAGUUCUACACCGGAACCUCUUGUAGAAAACGCCCCCACUGUGCUAUGUGACCACGCAGCCCCCCUUGUCGCCCUUGUAGGGGUUCUUGUCAUCGGGAACGCCCUUGAUGAGCGGGUCGUUGGGCAGCAGUGCCUCCACGUAGGAAAUGGUGUCUGUGCAGUUGGCACCCACCUGCCCACAGAAACGAGAGCAUUCAUUGGUGGAAAGAGGGAAAGAAAGAAAGAUAACAUGCAACGUUGGGAGCAGAAGUAGACUCACCGGUGUCCUGGGUGUGCUCACUUCCUUCUUCAGCUGGUCCAGUUCCAUCUUCAGGAUGUCUUUAUCGGACAUAUCCCGAGCCAUCCUGGCUGCAGAGAGAACCGCAACAUCCUCAACUCGUAUGACGCUUAGCUACCAUCACCAAUCACCAGCAGGAAUAUUAUAUUUACCUGUUGAAUGGCGGGAUCCCCAACAAGAUAAGAAACAAGGGUCCUAAAAGCUCAUGGACUAUCCCGCUGGCCCGCUGGUCUCCUCCUCCUCCUCGCACUGACUGACUUCCUCUUGUCCCACUGCUCUUCAUCCCGGCUCAUCCCCUGGCUUGGACCUGAUGUCACCAAUCCCCCGUGAUUGGAUUAAACAAUCAGGAGCCAUGACUUAGGAGCUAGGUGAGGAGGAAGUGAAGAGGGCGCAGAUUUGUAGGACACACAGUGGAGAAAGUGUUCCCGAAAAAUGACAUGAAUAAAGACGUAUGAUUGGAUAUUACGCUACAGUCAUCCCUUGUUGAUAUCCGUUAUAUUGGAUGCAAUGUUAAUAAAUGGAAUAUUUUGGUAGUUGGAGCAUAAAAAAACAUCUUUAUACCUUUCUAAAUACGCCUUUUAACAUUAUUAGAGCCUUGUAGACAUGAAAUAACAGCCCUAUAGUCACCAUUGCACUUCCGAUAACCCACGGCCUACUUCGUAAAGGACUCUUUGAAGGUCAUGAUGGUCAUGGCUGAAUGUUUUGUCAUUACUGCCACCUACUGACCACAAUACUACAUACAACUUGUACAGUAUUUCAAUAUGUUUUGACUAAUACUGUAAUACUCCAGAGUCCAGCACCAAACAGCCAUCGUUUAUUCAUCAUUCAUUUCUGAAAAAUACAAUAUUGUGAGCGCCAACUUAAUUUCCGUCAGUAAUGUCAGCUAACACAAAGCUAUAACAUGGAUGUGUUUUUUUUUUCUUUAUUAGCAUAUUAGGAUUAGCAUAUAUUGACCUUCAUUGGAUUAGUUUGAGCACAAAACACUGAAGACUAAGAGUAUCCAUAUAGUUCUUUGCAACAUAACAAUUGAUCCCGUUGUCACCUUAUAAGCCAUUUGACAGGAUCUGGGUUAGAGUCUUCCGCAGCAGCUUAAGUUGAGAGACGUCACUGUGGAUUUAGCAGCAAUGGAAACCUGAUAUAAACACCCAGCUCACUCAUUAAUUGUGCUAAUCGUGUAUUGUAACUAACACAUUCAUUAAAUUCAUUCAUUUAUUCAUUUUCUACCGCUUAUGCUAAAUUAAAAGGCUUUAUUCACAUGUUAAUCCUUUGCAUUUAAAUGUAAAGCUUCCAUAUCUUACAUGUAUUCAAUGGAGGAAAUUAUAUAUGUAAAGAAAACAAAACAACGCGGCUCACCUUAAUGUAAU